RNAcentral lists this ribosomal RNA (460 nucleotides) under uncultured bacterium. Its description in RNAcentral is "partial 16S ribosomal RNA". It matches the Rfam family "Bacterial small subunit ribosomal RNA", at positions 338 to 795 of the family's 1533-position model. The record is from RNAcentral.
CCUACGGGUGGCAGCAGUGAGGAAUAUUGGUCAAUGGGCGGGAUCCUGAACCAGCCAAGCCGCGUGAGGGAUGACGGCCCUAUGGGUUGUAAACCUCUUUUAUCCGGGAACAACACGCCGUACGUGUAGCGCUCUGCGUGUAUCCGAAGAAAAAGGAUCGGCUAAUUCCGUGCCAGCAGCCGCGGUAAUACGGAAGGUCCGGGCGUUAUCCGGAUUUAUUGGGUUUAAAGGGUGCGUAGGCCGGCCGUUUAGUCUGCGGUGAAAUGUGCGGGCUCAACCCCGGCCUGGCGGGGGAAACUGGCGUGCUUGAGUGCGCGAGAAGUAGGCGGAAUGCGUCGUGUAGCGGUGAAAUGCUUAGAUAUGGCGAAGAACCCCGAUUGCGAAGGCAGCUUGCCGGAGCGGGACUGACGCUGAUGCACGAAAGCGCGGGUAUCGAACAGGAUUAGAUACCCGAGUAGUC